AGUGGCGGACGGGUGAGUAACGCGUGGGUAACCUGCCUCACACUGGGGGAUAACAGUUAGAAAUAGCUGCUAAUACCGCAUAAGCGCACGGUUCCGCAUGGAACAGUGUGAAAAACUCCGGUGGUGUGAGAUGGACCCGCGUCUGAUUAGCCAGUUGGCGGGGUAACGGCCCACCAAAGCGACGAUCAGUAGCCGGCCUGAGAGGGUGAACGGCCACAUUGGGACUGAGACACGGCCCAGACUCCUACGGGAGGCAGCAGUGGGGAAUAUUGCGCAAUGGGGGAAACCCUGACGCAGCAACGCCGCGUGAUUGAAGAAGGCCUUCGGGUUGUAAAGAUCUUUAAUCAGGGACGAAACAAAUGACGGUACCUGAAGAAUAAGCUCCGGCUAACUACGUGCCAGCAGCCGCGGUAAUACGUAGGGAGCAAGCGUUAUCCGGAUUUACUGGGUGUAAAGGGCGCGCAGGCGGUAUGGCAAGUCAGAAGCGAAAACCCAGGGCUUAACUCUGGGACUGCUUUUGAAACUGUCAGACUGGAGUGCAGGAGAGGUAAGCGGAAUUCCUAGUGUAGCGGUGAAAUGCGUAGAUAUUAGGAGGAACAUCAGUGGCGAAGGCGGCUUACUGGACUGAAACUGACACUGAGGCACGAA
RNAcentral lists this ribosomal RNA (648 nucleotides) under uncultured Lachnospiraceae bacterium. RNAcentral describes it as "bacterial SSU rRNA". It matches the Rfam family "Bacterial small subunit ribosomal RNA", at positions 94 to 757 of the family's 1533-position model. Lineage: Bacteria; Bacillati; Bacillota; Clostridia; Lachnospirales; Lachnospiraceae. The record is from RNAcentral.